UAUGGNUCAACCAUAGUGUGCUCUGGAAACUNUCUGACAUGAGUGCAGAAGGGGAGAGUGGAAUUCCAUGUGUAGCGGUGAAAUGCGUGGAUAUAUGGAGGAACACCAGUGGCGAAAGCGGCUCUCUGGUCUGUCACUGACGCUGAGGCUCGAAAGCGUGGGUAGCGAACAGGAUUAGAUACCCUGGUAGUNCACGCCGUAAACGAUGAGUGCUAGGUGUUAGGCCCUUUCCGGGGCUUAGUGCCGGAGCUAACGCAAUAAGCACUCCGCCUGGGGAGUACGACCGCGAGGUUGAAACUCAAAGGAAUUGACGGGGGCCCGCACAAGCGGUGGAGCAUGUGGUUUAAUUCGAAGCAACGCGAAGAACCUUACCAGGUCUUGACAUCCCGAUGCUAUUCUUAGAGAUAGGAAGUUACUUCGGUACAUCGGAGACAGGUGGUGCAUGGUUGUCGUCAGCUCGUGUCGUGAGAUGUUGGGUUAAGUCCCGCAACGAGCGCAACCCUUAUUGUUAGUUGCCAUCAUUAAGUUGGGCACUCUAGCGAGACUGCCGGUAAUAAACCGGAGGAAGGUGGGGAUGACGUCAAAUCAUCAUGCCCCUUAUGACCUGGGCUACACACGUGCUACAAUGGUCGGUACGACGAGUUGCGAGCCGGUGACGGCAAGCUAAUCUCUGAAAGCCGAUCUCAGUUCGGAUUGGAGGCUGCAACUCGCCUCCAUGAAGUCGGAAUCGCUAGUAAUCGCGGAUCAGCACGCCGCGGUGAAUACGUUCCCGGGCCUUGUACACAC
Molecule: ribosomal RNA, 786 nt
Filed under: uncultured bacterium
Lineage: Bacteria
Description: bacterial SSU rRNA
Rfam family: Bacterial small subunit ribosomal RNA
Source: RNAcentral